AUUGAACGCUGGCGGCAUGCUUUACACAUGCAAGUCGAACGGUAACAGGCCGCAAGGUGCUGACGCGUGGCGGACGGGUGAGUAAUGCAUCGGAACGUGCCCAGUCGUGGGGGAUAACUACUCGAAAGAGUAGCUAAUACAGCAUACGAUCUAUGGAUGAGAGCGGGGGAGCGUAAGGCAUCGCGCGAUUGGAGCGGCCGAUGUCAGCUGAGGUUGUGGGUGGGGUAAAGGCUGACCAAGCCAACGAUCUGUAGCGGGUCUGAGAGGAGGACCGGCCACCUUGGAACUGAGCCAGGGCCCAUACUCCUACGGGACGCAGCAGUGUGCAAUGUGGGACAAUGGGCGCAAGCCUUAGCCAGCGAUGCCACGUGCAGUGAGAAGACCUUGGGGUUGUAAACUGCUUUUGUACGUAGUGAAACGGCUCUGGCUAAUACCCAGGGCUAAUGACGGUACCGUAAGAAUAAGCACCGGCUAACUACGUG
Molecule: ribosomal RNA, 482 nt
Filed under: uncultured bacterium
Lineage: Bacteria
Description: partial 16S ribosomal RNA
Rfam family: Bacterial small subunit ribosomal RNA
Source: RNAcentral